Molecule: ribosomal RNA, 253 nt
Filed under: uncultured bacterium
Lineage: Bacteria
Description: partial 16S ribosomal RNA
Rfam family: Bacterial small subunit ribosomal RNA
Source: RNAcentral
UACGUAGGGUGCAAGCGUUAUCCGGAAUUAUUGGGCGUAAAGAGCUCGUAGGCGGUUUGUCGCGUCUGCUGUGAAAACCGGAGGCUCAACCUCCGGCCUGCAGUGGGUACGGGCAAGCUAGAGUGCGGUAGGGGAGAUUGGAAUUCCUGGUGUAGCGGUGGAAUGCGCAGAUAUCAGGAGGAACACCGAUGGCGAAGGCAGAUCUCUGGGCCGUAACUGACGCUGAGGAGCGAAAGCGUGGGGAGCGAACAGG